RNAcentral lists this unclassified non-coding RNA (310 nucleotides) under plant metagenome. RNAcentral's name for it is "partial contains 5.8S ribosomal RNA, internal transcribed spacer 2, and large subunit ribosomal RNA". The stretch from base 1 to 105 matches the Rfam family "5.8S ribosomal RNA", at positions 50 to 154 of the family's 154-position model. The record is from RNAcentral.
GAAAUGCGAUAAGUAGUGUGAAUCGCAGAAUUCAGUGAAUCAUCGAAUCUUUGAACGCACAUUGCGCCCCUUGGUAUUCCAUGGGGCAUGCCUGUUCGAGCGUCAUUUGUACCCUCAAGCUCUGCUUGGUGUUGGGUGUUUGUCCCCGUCUCCGCGCGUGGACUCGCCCCAAAGUGAUUGGCAGCCGGCGUACUGGUCCCGGAGCGCAGCACAUGUCGCGCAAACGAGUGCCUUGGUACGGCGGCGUCCAUAAGCCCCUCUCUCACGCUCUUGACCUCGGAUCAGGUAGGGAUACCCGCUGAACUUAAGC